UACAGAGGUCUCAAGCGUUGUUCGGAUUCAUUGGGCGUAAAGGGUGUGUAGGUGGCGCCGUAAGUCGGGUGUGAAAUUUCGGAGCUUAACUCCGAAACUGCAUUCGAUACUGCGGUGCUUGAGGACUGGAGAGGAGACUGGAAUUCAUGGUGUAGCAGUGAAAUGCGUAGAUAUCUGGAGGAACACCGGUGGCGAAGGCGGCAUCCUGGACCAACACUGACGCUGAGGAGCGAAAGCCAGGGGAGCAAACGGG
Molecule: ribosomal RNA, 253 nt
Filed under: uncultured bacterium
Lineage: Bacteria
Description: partial 16S ribosomal RNA
Rfam family: Bacterial small subunit ribosomal RNA
Source: RNAcentral